Molecule: ribosomal RNA, 595 nt
Filed under: Lysobacteraceae bacterium RS24
Lineage: Bacteria; Pseudomonadati; Pseudomonadota; Gammaproteobacteria; Lysobacterales; Lysobacteraceae
Description: bacterial SSU rRNA
Rfam family: Bacterial small subunit ribosomal RNA
Source: RNAcentral
GCUUGCUCUUACGGGUGGCGAGUGGCGGACGGGUGAGGAAUACAUCGGAAUCUACUUUUUCGUGGGGGAUAACGUAGGGAAACUUACGCUAAUACCGCAUACGACCUACGGGUGAAAGCAGGGGACCUUCGGGCCUUGCGCGAUUGAAUGAGCCGAUGUCGGAUUAGCUAGUUGGCGGGGUAAAGGCCCACCAAGGCGACGAUCCGUAGCUGGUCUGAGAGGAUGAUCAGCCACACUGGAACUGAGACACGGUCCAGACUCCUACGGGAGGCAGCAGUGGGGAAUAUUGGACAAUGGGCGCAAGCCUGAUCCAGCCAUACCGCGUGGGUGAAGAAGGCCUUCGGGUUGUAAAGCCCUUUUGUUGGGAAAGAAAUCCAGCCGGCUAAUACCUGGUUGGGAUGACGGUACCCAAAGAAUAAGCACCGGCUAACUUCGUGCCAGCAGCCGCGGUAAUACGAAGGGUGCAAGCGUUACUCGGAAUUACUGGGCGUAAAGCGUGCGUAGGUGGUUGUUUAAGUCUGUUGUGAAAGCCCUGGGCUCAACCUGGGAACUGCAGUGGAAACUGGACGACUAGAGUGUGGUAGAGGGUAGCGGA